CGAAAACGAAUUCUCUCUUGAGUGGAUCCUGAGUACGACGGAGCACGUGAAAUUCCGUCGGAAUCUGGGAGGACCAUCUCCUAAGGCUAAAUACUCUCUAGUGACCGAUAGUGAACCAGUACCGUGAGGGAAAGGUGAAAAGUACCCCGGAAGGGGAGUGAAAGAGAACUUGAAACCGUGUGCUUACAAGUAGUCAGAGCCCGUUAAUGGGUGAUGGCGUGCCUUUUGUAGAAUGAACCGGCGAGUUACGAUCUGAUGCAAGGUUAAGCAGAAAAUGUGGAGCCGUAGCGAAAGCGAGUCUGAAUAGGGCGAAUGAGUAUUUGGUCGUAGACCCGAAACCAGGUGAUCUACCCUUGGUCAGGUUGAAGUUCAGGUAACACUGAAUGGAGGACCGAACCGACUUACGUUGAAAAGUGAGCGGAUGAACUGAGGGUAGCGGAGAAAUUCCAAUCGAACUUGGAGAUAGCUGGUUCUCUCCGAAAUAGCUUUAGGGCUAGCCUCAAGUGAUGAUUAUUGGAGGUAGAGCACUGUUUGGACGAGGGGCCCCUCUCGGGUUACCGAAUUCAGACAAACUCCGAAUGCCAAAUAAUUUAACUUGGGAGUCAGAAUGUGGGUGAUAAGGUCCAUAUUCGAAAGGGAAACAGCCCAGACCACCAGCUAAGGUCCCAAAAUAUAUGUUAAGUGGAAAAGGAUGUGGCGUUGCCCAGACAACUAGGAUGUUGGCUUAGAAGCAGCCAUCAUUUAAAGAGUGCGUAAUAGCUCACUAGUCGAGUGACACUGCGCCGAAAAUGUACCGGGGCUAAACAUAUUACCGAAGCUGUGGAUUGUCCUUUGGACAAUGGUAGGAGAGCGUUCUAAGGGCGUUGAAGCAUGAUCGCAAGGACAUGUGGAGCGCUUAGAAGUGAGAAUGCCGGUGUGAGUAGCGAAAGACGGGUGAGAAUCCCGUCCACCGAUUGACUAAGGUUUCCAGAGGAAGGCUCGUCCGCUCUGGGUUAGUCGGGUCCUAAGCUGAGGCCGACAGGCGUAGGCGAUGGAUAACAGGUUGAUAUUCCUGUACCACCAUUAUUCGUUUUAAGCGAUGGGGGGACGCAGUAGGAUAGGCGAAGCGUGCUGUUGGAGUGCACGUCCAAGCAGUGAGAUUGAGUGUUAGGCAAAUCCGGCACUCUUAAGAUUGAGCUGUGAUGGGGAGAGGAACUUGUUCCUCGAGUCGUUGAUUUCACACUGCCGAGAAAAGCCUCUAGCUAGAAUAACGGUGCCCGUACCGCAAACCGACACAGGUAGUCAAGAUGAGAAUUCUAAGGUGAGCGAGCGAACUCUCGUUAAGGAACUCGGCAAAAUGACCCCGUAACUUCGGGAGAAGGGGUGCUCUUUGAGGUUCACGCUUCGAAGAGCCGCAGUGAAUAGGCCCAAGCGACUGUUUAUCAAAAACACAGGUCUCUGCUAAACCGUAAGGUGACGUAUAGGGGCUGACGCCUGCCCGGUGCUGGAAGGUUAAGAGGAGUGGUUAGCGCAAGCGAAGCUACGAAUCGAAGCCCCAGUAAACGGCGGCCGUAACUAUAACGGUCCUAAGGUAGCGAAAUUCCUUGUCGGGUAAGUUCCGACCCGCACGAAAGGCGUAACGAUUUGGGCACUGUCUCAACGAGAGACUCGGUGAAAUCAUAGUACCGGUGAAGAUGCCGGUUACCCGCGACAGGACGGAAAGACCCCGUGGAGCUUUACUGUAGCCUGAUAUUGAAAUUCGGUACAGUUUGUACAGGAUAGGUAGGAGCCUUAGAAGCGUGAGCGCUAGCUUACGUGGAGGCAUUGGUGGGAUACUACCCUAAUUGUAUUGGAUUUCUAACCCGCAGCACUUAUCGUGCUGGGAGACAGUGUCAGGCGGGCAGUUUGACUGGGGCGGUCGCCUCCUAAAGAGUAACGGAGGCGCUCAAAGGUUCCCUCAGAAUGGUUGGAAAUCAUUCAUAGAGUGUAAAGGCAUAAGGGAGCUUGACUGCGAGACCUACAAGUCGAGCAGGGUCGAAAGACGGACUUAGUGAUCCGGUGGUUCCGCAUGGAAGGGCCAUCGCUCAACGGAUAAAAGCUACCCCGGGGAUAACAGGCUUAUCUCCCCCAAGAGUUCACAUCGACGGGGAGGUUUGGCACCUCGAUGUCGGCUCAUCGCAUCCUGGGGCUGUAGUCGGUCCCAAGGGUUGGGCUGUUCGCCCAUUAAAGCGGUACGCGAGCUGGGUUCAGAACGUCGUGAGACAGUUCGGUCCCUAUCCGUCGUGGGCGUAGGAAAUUUGAGAGGAGCUGUCCUUAGUACGAGAGGACCGGGAUGGACAUACCUCUGGUGUACCAGUUGUCGUGCCAACGGCAUAGCUGGGUAGCUAUGUAUGGACGGGAUAAGUGCUGAAAGCA
RNAcentral lists this ribosomal RNA (2394 nucleotides) under Staphylococcus pseudintermedius. Its description in RNAcentral is "partial 23S ribosomal RNA". It matches the Rfam family "Bacterial large subunit ribosomal RNA", at positions 380 to 2779 of the family's 2925-position model. Lineage: Bacteria; Bacillati; Bacillota; Bacilli; Caryophanales; Staphylococcaceae. The record is from RNAcentral.